AUGAACGCUGGCGGCGUGCCUAAUCCAUGCAAGUCGAGCGAACGGACGAGAAGCUUGCUUCUCUGAUGUUAGCGGCGGACGGGUGAGUAACACGUGGAUAACCUACCUAUAAGACUGGGAUAACUUCGGGAAACCGUAGCUAAUACCGGAUAAUAUUUUGAACCGCAUGGUUCAAAAGUGAAAGACGGUCUUGCUGUCACUUAUAGAUGGAUCCGCGCUGCAUUAGCUAGUUGGUAAGGUAACGGCUUACCAAGGCAACGAUGCAUAGCCGACCUGAGAGGGUGAUCGGCCACACUGGAACUGAGACACGGUCCAGACUCCUACGGGAGGCAGCAGUGGGGAAUCUUCCGCAAUGGGCGAAAGCCUGACGGAGCAACGCCGCGUGAGUGAUGAAGGUCUUCGGAUCGUAAAACUCUGUUAUUAGGGAAGAACAUAUGUGUAAGUAACUGUGCACAUCUUGACGGUACCUAAUCAGAAAGCCACGGCUAACUACGUG
This 496-nucleotide ribosomal RNA is filed under the name uncultured bacterium. RNAcentral's name for it is "partial 16S ribosomal RNA". It matches the Rfam family "Bacterial small subunit ribosomal RNA", at positions 29 to 507 of the family's 1533-position model. The record is from RNAcentral.